This 2674-nucleotide long non-coding RNA is filed under the name Homo sapiens (human). RNAcentral's name for it is "long independently transcribed non-coding RNA 1181 (LINC01181)". Lineage: Eukaryota; Metazoa; Chordata; Mammalia; Primates; Hominidae. The record is from RNAcentral.
ACAGAUGGCCUGGAUCAGUGCAAUGUGCAACAAGAGGACUAUAUCGUCUCAGUAAAAACCUUGAAGAGAUGAACCCAUUUCAGAGACCCAGCAAGGGAUCACCUGCAUAUACAGGCAUCAGCAGAAACAGGAAUUUGGGAUUUAUCCUGGAGGUAGUGGAAGCUUUUGGAGGUCUUAACCAGGACAGCACAUGUGGCUUUCCUGCAAUGGGAUCGUCCUUCAAGAGGACCUCACAGGCUCUCCACCCGGACUGUGACGUAAGCAGCUGCAGCAGCCUUGGAUGUUUCUGGAUAGCCAGCCCCAUGAGAACAGCUUUAAAAUAGGAGACUGGCAUUGUGAUGAAGUGUGGACUUCGCUGUCAUAUAGACCUGGAUUUAAAUCCUGGCUUCAGUGUUUAUGGAUGACGUUGGACAAGUCAUUUAACCUCCUUAAGUCUCAGAGUUCUCAUUACGGAAAUGGAGCUCUUAAUAGUACCUACCCCCUAGUGUGGUUGUGAGGGUUGAGAUCAUCUAUGUUCAAAGUGCUUAUUAUACAGAGACGGGGACAUGUAAGUGCUACAUAAAUGUUAGCUUUUAUUAGUCACUGGAGUGGAGGAGAGAGGACUGUUGCCUCCUUGUCAAUGUCCCCAUCCUGGGAAGCCUGCCUGUGUGCACCAAGGCCCAUCUGACCCAUAUAUCAGAAAAGGUGCCCUUCUAGGGAGCGACACCCCCCACCAAGCCCCCCAGUCGCUGUCCAUGCUUUCCUCUAGGUUCAAAAUGCAGCUGCAUCUGUGCAGAAACCAGGUGUUGCCUGUGAGUUCUGCCUCGCUGGCCAGAGGUGGAAGGAAGGAGGAAAGGAGAGGGGCCUCCAUACUUCCAGAGCCCCACUGGGGGUUACCUUCGCUUGCCCCCACUCUUUUUGUCUUGCUCUGAGGAUGCCAGGACUUUAAGGACAUUGUCAGCGAGCACAGAAAGAAUCUCAGUCAUCUGGACUGCUUUGUGCUAUAUGAAAAUCUCUGAGAACCUUCAAGAGCCCAAAAACAGUUCUCCUCCAUGCUGUAUGCCAUGGUCAGUGGUUAAAGAGAACAUUUUGUUCCACUCCUCCAGCUCUGCCUUAGAAACCCAAGCCCUGCACUCCAAGGCUCCUGGCAUCGUACACCAGCACCAGCAAUUUUCUGCCAAAAGCAUCAGCCAAAAUCUAUUCUAUCUAUUUCAGUUCCUCUCUUUUCAUCGGAUUGUAUUUUUACAGGUGAUUGCUGAUUCUCACACUGCUCUUCAGAUUCAUGUACAGCUGUGGUCUGAAUGUGUGUGUUUUCUCAAAAUUCAAGUUUAAAACUUAAUCCUCAAUGUGAUAGUAUCAACAGCUGCGGCCUUUUGGAAAGUGAAGGUGGAGCCCUCGUGAGUGGGAUUAGAGCUCUUAUAAAAGAGAUUGAAGGGAGCUACCUAGCCCUUCCAUCUCUUCUGCCUUGUGAGGACACAGUGUUCAUCCCUUUUGUCUUCCCACCAUUUGAAGAUGCAGAAAGAAGGUGCCAUCUUGGAAGCAAAGAGCAGCCCUCACCAGACACCAAGUCUGCUGGCACCUUGAUCUUGGACUUCCCAGCCUCCAGGACUGUGAGAAAUGAAUUUCUGUUGUUUAUAAAUUACCUAGUCUAAGGUAUGCUGUUACAGUAGCAGGAAUGGACUAAGACACACAUUGUCAAAAUCUUCAUGAGUUAAAGGUGAAGGUACAAUCAGAACUGGUGCAUGGAAUUGGAACCAUAGGUCUUAGUAAACACUGUAAAAAUGCACUAUUCAAAUCUACAGAAAAUGCUCUCUCUUCAAGUUCAGAAAGAAGCUACAAUCUGCUUUUCCUUUUUUUCUGAAGAUGUGGGGAACGAAAUUGGAUCUUGUGCUUUUGGGUGCUAACUUUGAGCCCUCUUCCUUUACAUCUAAAUGACAAUUUGUGGAUCAAUGAGGAUGUGUCAACUAGCCAAGAUCGAGGACCUGGAGGGGUGCUCUGUGGAAACUGCUUUAAAAUCCUUCAGAGGGUGGGCACGGAGCUCUGGUUCUGGUUGAAGAGUCCUGUCAAGGCCAUCUCAAAAGGAGAAGCAAAGCCUGCAGAGGAGGCCAGCCUGAGUCCUGGGGUGCGAACGGGUGCUGCGCUCAGCAUGAGGAGGAGGAGACCCUGGCCACAGUUCCAUGAAUCUUUGCUCCCUUCCACAUUAUGGAUUCUGGCUAAGAAGAUUUUCAUCUUUCACCACCUGUUCUGGAUUCUUGGAACAGGUAAAUUCAUUGGCCUACGCAAGUCUGAGCUCUAGGUCUGAACCCGCAUGGACCUGAGGGUGCACCGAGAAAAGAAAGGCUGACAACUGGAUCCCGGGAAUGUCAAGGCCACCCUGGGCUUGAAGGGACCGGCCAUGCCUCCAAGCCUUGCCCAGAGAGGGGGUUCAGGAUGCUGCGUGGUUCCAGGUGAUCUAUUGCUUUCUCGAGUUUAAAGUUCAGAGGAUCAUGAAGUACCACAGCUGGAAGGGGUGUAAGUGACACUGCCUAGCCUAACUCUCUUAAAAAUCAUAGCCCUACUCCUGCCUCCCCAAAUCAGAUACGACAGGCAUAGGCUCUGACUGUUCCUUAAGUCUUAGUGGCAAUACUCCCUGACCAGUUUUGCGGGGUUGCUCCCAGUUCCAUUGCUUUUGUAACAGGUGGCCAGAAAGCCUGGG